UUUGUUGCUCUACCUUGUCGGGAAUCGCGACCAAGCAGCGGCCACCGCGGGCCGCGGUAGUGUCUCGUCGCCCUCACAGAACACCGUCUCGCCGCCGCCGAAGCCCCUCCUUGCUCCCGUUCUCCGCGCGCCAGAUCGACACAUUCCUCGAUCUCAGCCACCGCCAGCGCCGGCUCCGCGGUGCCCAAUUCCUCAAACCCUAGAGCCAAAUCCCCCAUUUGGCCGCGCCUAACAGAGCCGGAUUUACUCGGCGCUGGCUGGUGCGAGCGGCGAAUCGAGUCCCCUCCCGUGCACUGCUCCACAUGUCGCACCGCGUGUACGCAUGAACUCGUCCAUGGACGAGAUCAACCUGCUACGGCAGCACCAGCGACACCAGCAGCACCACCUGUCGGUGCGCGGCAUCGGUGAGGAGAUCGACCUCGAGAUCGACCAGUGUGAAGAUCCCACUUUCUCGGGCGCCGCACUCGAGGGCGUGACCUCCCAUCACCCUCAAGACCCCGUCGUCCCUGCCGAUGACCACAAGAGCUUCCUCAUCCCGUGCUCGCAGCCUGGCGCAGUGGACGGCCAACCGCAGCCCACGCCACCGCAAGCAGAGGAACGGGCAGGGAUGCUGAGGCUGUCGGCGCAUACCAAGAAGAAGAAGAAGGUGGUCAAGAAAUGGCGGGAUGAGUGGGCGGACACAUACAAGUGGGCCUAUGUGGCCGUGCACGACAACACCAGCAGAAUCUUCUGCACCGUUUGCAAGGAGUAUGGCCGCAAGCAUCGCCGGAACCCCUAUGGGAACGAGGGGAGCAGGAACAUGCAGAUGAGUGCGCUAGAGGAGCACAACAAUAGCUUGCUGCAUAAGGAGGCGCUCCGACUGCAGUCAGCCUCCAAGGAGAAGGUGCAAACUCCUGAGAUAGAGAGGCCGGUUUAUGUCAAAGCUUUGUCGAAAACAGCAGCUUCAAUACUUGAAUCUCUCUUCAAGAAGGACCCUCAUGAAGCUGAAUUUAUACAGUCUAUACAGGAGGUGGUUCAUUCUAUAGAACCAGUUUUGGUGAAGAACUCACAAUAUGUUCAGAUAUUGGAGCGUUUAUUAGAACCUGAGAGAUGUUUUAUCUUCAGAGUGCCAUGGGUUGAUGACAGAGGUGAAGCUCAUGUCAAUCGAGGUUUCCGUGUGCAGUUCAGUCAGGCUUUAGGUCCAUGCAGAGGUGGUCUCCGUUUCCACCCGUCCAUGAACUUAAGUGUGGCAAAGUUUCUAGCUUUUGAGCAGACUCUGAAGAAUGCUCUGUCACUAUAUAAACUUGGAGGUGCUGCUGGAGGGAGCGAUUUUGAUCCAAAGGGUAAAAGUGAAAUUGAGGUAUUCGUGUUGUAUUUUAUUUCCUCUGGGCAACAAUAUUUACUGCAUGUAAAUAUGGAUAUUUUUCCAUGCCAGGUAAUGCGCUUUUGUCAAAGUUUCAUGGAUGAGCUGUAUAGAUACUUGGGCCCUGAUCAGGAUUUUCCUGCUGAAGAUGUUGGUGUUGGUCCAAGGGAAAUGGGUUUCCUUUUUGGGCAGUACAGACGCCUUUCUGGUCAUUUUCAGGGAAAUUUUACAGGGCCUAAGAUCUUCUGGUCUGGUUCUAGUUUUAGAACAGAAGCUACUGGAUACGGACUGGUAUUUUUUGCACGUGUUGUACUUGCUGAUAUGAAUAAGGAGCUCAAAGGAUUAAGAUGUGCGAUAAGUGGUUCAGGAAAGAUAGCAAUGCAUGUCUUGGAAAAGCUUCUGUCGUGUGAAGCUAUUCCUGUUACAGUCUCAGAUUCAGAAGGCUAUCUAUUUGAUGGAGACGGGUUUGAUUAUGUGAAAUAUACACUUAUAAGGAAUAUUAAGGCACAACAAAGGAGCCUCAAGGAAUACUUGAAAACAUUUCCACGUGCCAAAUAUAUCAAUGAUGCUAAGCCAUGGGGUGAGCAGUGUGAUAUUGCAUUCCCUUGUGCAUCACAAAAUGAGAUUGACCAGGGGGAGGCUCUUUCAAUAAUUAGCUCUGGUUGCCGUGUUCUUAUAGAAUGUUCAAACAUGCCAUGCACUGGUCAAGCAGUUGAUAUCCUAAGAAAGGCAAAAGUCCAUGUUGCUCCAGCAAAGGCAACUGCUGCUGGUGGGGUAGCAGUCGGUGAACUUGAACUGAAUCCAGAGUUCAGCUUAAUGCAGUGGUCAGUAGAGGAUUUCGAGAACAAAAUACAGGUAUAAGCCGCUGCUUCUGCCCGUUGGUGGCUACCCUUCCAUUUUUCGAUAAAGGGCGUAUUUAUUAACUCAAAAUGUAGCAUCAAGCGGAUAGAAAGCAUGAUGAGAAACACACGGCCUCUGCAUAACUAAGAUCCACACAGCCAAAUACUAACAAAUUGACCCCAAAAAACAACAUAUCGGCAACGUAGUCAUAUAAGAUCGACACUAUGCCUAUGUCGAAGGAGGUGGCUACCCUUCCAUAUGUGGAAGCAGUAAAGCAAACAUAUGACAGGUCGAUGAAAGCUGCUCAAGAAUAUGGAAUCCUGAAAGAGAACCCAGAGUCUUUGGUGCAUGGUGCAAACAUAUCGGCCUUCCUGAACAUUGCACAAGCCAUGACUGAUCAAGGAUGUGUGUAGUUAAGCGUUUUUGUUCUGUCAAGAAGCAGAAUUUGACAUCCCUGCAGGCUGCAGCCAUGAUCUCUGGUUGUACUGUGGUUGCUGCAGCCAUUUGACGCUUAUUCGUAGCCUCCCUCACAGAUCACUGUUUUACGUUUAUUGGUAGCCUCCCUCACAGAUCAAUUUUAUGUUUAGGCCUUGUCAAAGCUUUCCUCUGGUAUGAAGGAAAAGCUUAGAUCUAUUUAGAGUAUAGAAGUGUUUCCUGUUGUAGAUCCCCCAUGUAUUUAUUCAUUACUGCCAACAUCAAUGCUUGAAGAAGGAAAUGUUCCUUUUUUGUGUGAA
Aegilops tauschii subsp. strangulata is the source of this 2916-nucleotide RNA transcript. RefSeq lists it as uncharacterized. The record is from RefSeq and is a predicted model, not a curated record. Lineage: Eukaryota; Viridiplantae; Streptophyta; Magnoliopsida; Poales; Poaceae.